CCCUUAGAUGUCCUGGGCCGCACGCGCGUUACACUGAUGCAUUCAACGAGCUUAUAACCUUGGCCGAGAGGCCUGGGCAAUCUUGUUAACGUGCAUCGUGAUAGGGAUAGAUUAUUGAAAUUAUUAAUCUUGAACGAGGAAUUCCUAGUAAACGCAGAUCAUCAAUCUGCAUUGAUUACGUCCCUGCCCUUUGUACACACCGCCCGUCGCACCUACCGAUUGGAUGGUCCGGUGAAGCCUCGGGAUUGUGGUUCUUGCCGCUUUAUUGUGGCGUGACCGCGAGAACUUGUCUAAACCUUAUCAUCUAAAGGAAGGUGAAGUCGUAACA
This 328-nucleotide ribosomal RNA is filed under the name uncultured eukaryote. RNAcentral describes it as "partial 18S ribosomal RNA". It matches the Rfam family "Eukaryotic small subunit ribosomal RNA", at positions 1470 to 1796 of the family's 1831-position model. The record is from RNAcentral.